This 253-nucleotide ribosomal RNA is filed under the name uncultured bacterium. RNAcentral describes it as "partial 16S ribosomal RNA". It matches the Rfam family "Bacterial small subunit ribosomal RNA", at positions 524 to 776 of the family's 1533-position model. The record is from RNAcentral.
UACGUAGGCAGCAAGCGUUGUUCGGAGUUACUGGGCGUAAAGGGUGCGUAGGCGGCCGUGUAAGUGUGGUGUGAAAUCUCCCGGCUUAACUGGGAGGGUGCGCUACAGACUGCAUGGCUAGAGUGUGGGAGAGGAAAGUGGAAUUCCUGGUGUAGCGGUGAAAUGCGCAGAUAUCAGGAGGAACACCAAUAGCGAAGGCAGCUCGCUGGGACGUUACUGACACUGAGGCGCGAAAGCGUGGGGAGCAAACAGG